RNAcentral lists this long non-coding RNA (555 nucleotides) under Manihot esculenta (cassava). RNAcentral's name for it is "long non-coding RNA (MESC_LNC007943)". The record is from RNAcentral. Lineage: Eukaryota; Viridiplantae; Streptophyta; Magnoliopsida; Malpighiales; Euphorbiaceae.
AAACUCUGGCUAACCUUCUGAUCUACCCUGUACCUGCACAUCUGGGGUUAGGGGAGAGGGGUGAGCUACAAAGCCUAGUGAGCAGAAUAGUAUAAAACAUUAUAUUAAAAUUUUAUGCUUUCAUGGAAUGCAACACAUCACAACAAAUCACAUCUCGGAUGGUAUUGUCACCUAUAGUCCUCUACAUAGGUCCAACUGUGCCGGGACGUAGAAUGGGUCAACCGGUCUUUCCCUUAUCAUAACAUAUCAUAUGGACCAACUGUGCCAGGGACGUAGAAUGGGUACAACCUGGACUUUCUCUUACAUCGUGCCAGGGACGUAGAAUGGGUACAACCUGGACUUCCAUACCAUAACAUGCCAUAACAUCAAUCAUAUCAUAUGAGGACUAAAGGAUCAUCCAAUAACCAAUCCACAUCAACAUUAACAUCAUAAAUGCAAUGCAACAUAUUCGUGAAUACUAAUGCAAGCAUCCUAUUAUAUCUCAUGGCAUUCAUGAUGCAUGGAUCAUGCUCAAAAUUCAUAUUUCAUUUAUUUAAAACUUAAGGUUUAUUCCAC